AUACACAACAUGUAAACCAGUAAUUGACACCAAAUAAGACAAUACAGUACCGGGUUCACCAUAAUACAAACUAUAAUAAAAGAAAUCAUAGUUCAUGCAUACGAGACCAUAACAUAAUUACAUCAAACAUCAUGCUGCAUUUAAUACUAGAAAUUAGACCAAACAAUAACAGACCAACACUGUAUCAGACUCGGGCCCCAUUGGCAACCU
This 210-nucleotide long non-coding RNA is filed under the name Carica papaya (papaya). RNAcentral describes it as "long non-coding RNA (CPAP_LNC001074)". Lineage: Eukaryota; Viridiplantae; Streptophyta; Magnoliopsida; Brassicales; Caricaceae. The record is from RNAcentral.